AAUGUGGUGCCUGAUUAAAAGGAUUAUUUUGAUAGAAUAAAACAUGUAAAAUUUACCCUCAUUA
Molecule: transfer RNA, 64 nt
Filed under: Cucujoidea sp. 17 KM-2017
Lineage: Eukaryota; Metazoa; Arthropoda; Insecta; Coleoptera
Description: tRNA-Ile
Source: RNAcentral